This 1304-nucleotide long non-coding RNA is filed under the name Oncorhynchus mykiss (rainbow trout). RNAcentral's name for it is "lncRNA (ENSOMYG00000065956.1)". The record is from RNAcentral. Lineage: Eukaryota; Metazoa; Chordata; Actinopteri; Salmoniformes; Salmonidae.
GCUGUUUUGGUAAUGAAUAUAGGCAAUAAGAUACACUGUCUUAUAAAAAAAGUAUGUGGACACCCCUUUAAAUUAGUGGAUUUCAGCCACACCUGUUGUUGACAGGUGUAUCAAAUCAAGCACACAGCCAUGCAAACUCCAUAGAAUAACUUACUGAAGUGACUUUCAACGUGGCACCGUCAUAGGAUGCCACCUUUCCAACAUGUCAGUCAACUAGAAGUGCUGUUACUGUGAAGUGGAAGGAGCAACAACGGCUCAGCUGCGAAGUGGUGGUGCUGUAGAGAGAGUCCCUCCCUGGGGAGUGGGAGCUACAGCCUGGCUAGGUGGUGGUGUAGAGAGAGUCCCUCCCUGGGGAAUGGGAGCUACAGCCUGGCUAGGUGGUGUAGAGAGAGUUCCUCCCUGGGGAGUGGGAGCUGCAGCCUGGCUAGGUGGUGGUGUAGAGAGAGUUCCUCCCUGGGGAAGUGGGAGCUAUAGCCUGGCUAGGUGGUGGUGUAGAGAGAGUCCCUAUCUGGGGAGUGGGAGCUGCAGCCUGGCUAGGUGGUGGUGUAGAGAGAGUUCCUCCCUGGGGAAGUGGGAGCUAUAGCCUGGCUAGGUGGUGGUGUAGAGAGAGUCCCUCCCUGGUUAGUGGGAGCUACAGCCUGGCUACUUGCUGGUGUAGAGCGAGUUCCUCCCUGGGGAGUGGGAGCUGCAGUCUGGCUAGGUGGUGUAGAGAGAGUUCCUCCCUGGGGAGUGGGAGCUGCAGUCUGGCUAGAUGGUGGUGUAGAGAGAGUCCCUCCCUGGGGAGUGGGAGCUGCAGCCUGGCUACGUGCUGUAGAGAGAGUUCCUCCCUGGGGAGUGGGAGCUGCAGUCUGGCUAGGUGCUAUAGAGAUAGUUCCUCCCUGGAGAGUGGGAGCUGCAGUCUGGCUAGGUUGUGGUGCAGAGAGAGUUCCUCCCUGGGGAGUGGGAGCUGCAGCCUGGCUACGUGCUGUAGAGAGAGUUCCUCCCUGGGGAGUGGGAGCUGCAGUCUGGCUAGGUGCUAUAGAGAUAGUUCCUCCCUGGAGAGUGGGAGGUGCAGUCUGGCUAGGUGGUGGUGUAGAGAGAGUCCCUAUCUGGGGAGUGGGAGCUGCAGCCUGGCUAGGUGGUGGUGUAGAGAGAGUUCCUCCCUGGGGAGUGGGAGGUGCAGUCUGGCUAGGUGGUGUAGAGAGAGUUCCUCCCUGGGCAGUGGGAGCUACAGUCUGGCUAGGUGCUGUAGAGAGAGUCCCUCCCUGGGGAGUGGGAGCCAAAGUCUGGCUAGGUGCUGUAGAGAGAGUUCCCCCCUGGGGAGU